Molecule: ribosomal RNA, 253 nt
Filed under: uncultured bacterium
Lineage: Bacteria
Description: partial 16S ribosomal RNA
Rfam family: Bacterial small subunit ribosomal RNA
Source: RNAcentral
UACGGGGGGGGCAAGCGUUGUUCGGAAUUACUGGGCGUAAAGGGCCAGUAGGCGGCCAACUAAGUCCGACGUGAAAUCCCAAGGCUUAACCUUGGAACUGCGUCGGAUACUGGAUGGCUUGAAUUCGGGAGAGGGAUGCAGAAUUCCAGGUGUAGCGGUGAAAUGCGUAGAUAUAGGAAGGAAUACCAGUGGCGAAGGCGGCCUCCUGGAUCGAUACUGACGCUGAGGCGCGAAAGCGUGGGGAGCAAACAGG